GUCUCUCCACUCCCAACGGCCAUCAGCUACACGCCUGCCCACUAUUUCACUCACGCCUACCUCACUCUCCCUCUCUCAGAAAAAUCCUCACAGAAAAAUCCAAAGAAAUCUCUCUCUUCACUCUCACCAAAAAUCCAACGAAACCUCUUCAUCGCCUCGCUCAAUCUCCACACAAAAAGCCUCACUCACUGUUCAUCACCCUUCAACUCACGCUCUCACUCUCGAAAACCCUAUCCGCCGCCAUUUCACUCACUGGAAGCUCCAUCCAAAUCGACAACCUCC
This 282-nucleotide long non-coding RNA is filed under the name Lathyrus oleraceus (garden pea). Its description in RNAcentral is "Pisum sativum (pea) long non-coding RNA (PSAT_LNC008985)". Lineage: Eukaryota; Viridiplantae; Streptophyta; Magnoliopsida; Fabales; Fabaceae. The record is from RNAcentral.